This 236-nucleotide long non-coding RNA is filed under the name Hordeum vulgare. RNAcentral describes it as "long non-coding RNA (HVUL_LNC014248)". The record is from RNAcentral. Lineage: Eukaryota; Viridiplantae; Streptophyta; Magnoliopsida; Poales; Poaceae.
UUGACUGAACUGUUAGAUAUAAGUUCAAAGAUUUGUGUUAUGUUUCAUCACGCAUGUUAAUUACAUGCUCUAUCUGAAAAAUGUGACGCAGAUAACAAAGAAUGAGAUAUAAUAAAUGAGUGACUUCACCAUUCCGAACUGCUCUUUCGUAUCUAUGAAGCGUAGAGUACUAAGAGCAACUUCAAAGGGACGAUCCAAAUGACGGUGAUUUUGUUCGCUUUUCGUCCGUUUGGGUC